CCUACGGGAGGCAGCAGUGGGGGAUAUUGCACAAUGGGGGGAACCCUGAUGCAGCGACGCCGCGUGGGUGAAGAAGCGCCUCGGCGCGUACAGCCCUGUCAGCAGGGAAGAAAAUGACGGUACCUGAAGAAGAAGCCCCGGCUAACUACGUGCCAGCAGCCGCGGUAAUACGUCGGGGGCAAGCGUUAUCCGGAUUUACUGGGUGGAAGGGGGUCGCAGACGGCGAUGCAAGCCAGGAGUGAAAGACCGGGGCCAAACCCCGGGACUGCUCUUGGAACUGCGUGGCUGGAGUGAAGGAGGGGCAGGCGGAAUUCCUGGUGGAGCGGUGAAAUGCGUAGAUAUCAGGAGGAACACCGGUGGCGAAGGCGGCCUGCUGGACUGCAACUGACGUUGAGGCCCGAAAGCGUGGGGAGCAAACAGGAUUAGAUACCCUGGUAGUC
RNAcentral lists this ribosomal RNA (440 nucleotides) under uncultured bacterium. RNAcentral describes it as "partial 16S ribosomal RNA". It matches the Rfam family "Bacterial small subunit ribosomal RNA", at positions 338 to 795 of the family's 1533-position model. The record is from RNAcentral.